UCAGAUACAAUAAAUAUACUAUCCUUUCCUCGACUAGACUCGAUAUACACAAUACAAAAUCAAUAGAAAUAUAUAGACAAAUUAUAUGAGGGGUGGUGAGUGGGGUAUACAUGCCUUGAUGAAGAAGCAUAGAUUUUCCACCUUUGCACUAAACAUAUUGGCCAUAAAUAUUAGAAACAUUGGAUCAUAUUUUAGGCAAAUUAAAUUGAUCUUCAUGAAUUCCAAAGGUCUUAGCGAUAAUGAAUGACCCAAAAAUUCCCCAUCAUGUGCCUCCUCACAAGGUGUUUUCUCAAAGCACUACAAGAAAAAUGGUUAUUAGAAAAAGGGAAAUCUGGUCCCUGAAAGUACAAUUCUUGUCCUUAAAUGUUAAUAGAGAC
RNAcentral lists this long non-coding RNA (377 nucleotides) under Capsicum annuum. RNAcentral describes it as "long non-coding RNA (CANN_LNC002653)". The record is from RNAcentral. Lineage: Eukaryota; Viridiplantae; Streptophyta; Magnoliopsida; Solanales; Solanaceae.